AAGAACAAACUGAGUGUGCAGUUCUCGCUGAAGAACAAAGACGAUUUUCACAGCGCCUUCUACCAUUGACUUGUACUGAUGAGCGCCCCUAUAUAAGUAAGUGUUCGGGCACAUCACUUGUGCGAUCUAUGCUGAUGAAAAAGGAUGGCGAUGUUCAGGCAGCGCUUUCUACCGUUUGAUUUGUGCUGAUGAGUGCCCCACUGAUAAUAGAUGUUCGGGCGAAGUACUUGUGCAAUCUAUGCUGAUGAGAAAGGAUGACGAUGUUCAGUUUUAAAGCCCUAAAAAUAGAAAUUAGAAUUAGCUGCUAGCUCUACAUAAUAUCAUCAAGGUGAAACCAUCAAAUAAGAGAAUCAUAUGUACAGUCUUAUCAAAGGGGAAAAAGAAGAUGAUAAUAAUGUGAAGGGCGAGGAUGGAUUACUUUGUGAUCCUAUUUUUGAUCAAUCUGAGGAUCAGAUUGCUUGUGAAGGGUCGGACUUCUUGACUACCUGAUCAACAAAUACAACAGAGAAUCUCAAUAAAUUUCAAUAUGUUUUAGGGUACAGGUUGAUCAUGCAAAGUCGCCAACAAAGUUUGUUAUUCUAUGACUCUCGAGUCUAGAGUGAGUUCUCUUUUACCAAAUUUACAAUUAAAAGUUUGGUAUUGUGCAUUCUUAUAUUGUUGGUCGGACGAACUUGUCAUUAAUGAUUUUACAGAUUGCUUAUAUAAGAUGUGGCAUAUGGAGAAAGGUAAGAUAUCUUUAUUGCUUUGGAUGCAUAUCCACAUUGAGUCCUUAUUUAUUUUCAAUACUUGCUCAUUUAUAGAAAUUUUAUAAAUACAAUCAUUUGGUUUCCUUUUCCAAGACCUUGUUUGAUUAUUUGAAAUUAUUUAUAGAUUAUAAUUUUUCAGUUUUCUUGUCAUUUCUAUCCAUAAUUUCAACAUUUAAGUGAUCAUUUUCUUUUGUUUCUGCUGGUUGUGAUAUAUAAUCACCACCUCUAUAUUCACUGUUAUUUUCAACUGUUUACAUACAGUGGGAGAAUAAAUGUUACUUGACUGACCAUCUUGGCUUGGUGUUGGUUUCCACUGCACAAGUGGUGUAAAAAACUUUGUUAUGAUGAUUUUGGUUUUCGUGUUCUUCAUUUCACUAAAUUCUACAUGUUUUAUAUAUAUUUGUUUUUUAAUUUUUCCGAUAAUACUAGUAUUAUUAUUAAUCUCGGGGUAUUAUUAUUAAUCUCGGGAGAAAUGAAAUGUGAGUUUAUUUGUAUCAAGUUAAUC
Molecule: long non-coding RNA, 1251 nt
Organism: Impatiens glandulifera
Lineage: Eukaryota; Viridiplantae; Streptophyta; Magnoliopsida; Ericales; Balsaminaceae
Exons: 4
Source: RefSeq, a predicted model, not a curated record